Molecule: ribosomal RNA, 250 nt
Filed under: uncultured bacterium
Lineage: Bacteria
Description: partial 16S ribosomal RNA
Rfam family: Bacterial small subunit ribosomal RNA
Source: RNAcentral
AUUGAACGCUGGCGGCAUGCCUUACACAUGCAAGUCGAACGGUAACAGGUCUUCGGAUGCUGACGAGUGGCGAACGGGUGAGUAAUACAUCGGAACGUGCCUAGUAGUGGGGGAUAACUACUCGAAAGAGUAGCUAAUACCGCAUGAGAUCUACGGAUGAAAGCAGGGGAUCGCAAGACCUUGUGCUACUAGAGCGGCUGAUGGCAGAUUAGGUAGUUGGUGGGAUAAAAGCUUACCAAGCCGACGAUCU